CACGAACGCGGCGGCGUGCCUAAUACAUGCAAGUAGAACGCUGAAGGAGGAGCUUGCUCUUCUAGAUGAGUUGCGAACGGGUGAGUAACGCGUAGGAACCUGCCUGGUAGCGGGGGAUAACUAUUGGAAACGAUAGCUAAUACCGCAUAACAGUAGAUGUUGCAUGACAUUUGCUUAAAAGGUGCAAUUGCAUCACUACCAGAUGGACCUGCGUUGUAUUAGCUAGUUGGUGGGGUAACGGCUCACCAAGGCAACGAUACAUAGCCGACCUGAGAGGGUGAUCGGCCACACUGGGACUGAGACACGGCCCAGACUCCUACGGGAGGCAGCAGUAGGGAAUCUUCGGCAAUGGACGGAAGUCUGACCGAGCAACGCCGCGUGAGUGAAGAAGGUUUUCGGAUCGUAAAGCUCUGUUGUAAGAGAAGAACGAGUGUGAGAGUGGAAAGUUCACACUGUGACGGUAUCUUACCAGAAAGGGACGGCUAACUACGUGCCAGCAGCCGCGGUAAUACGUAGGUCCCGAGCGUUGUCCGGAUUUAUUGGGCGUAAAGCGAGCGCAGGCGGUUAGAUAAGUCUGAAGUUAAAGGCUGUGGCUUAACCAUAGUACGCUUUGGAAACUGUUUAACUUGAGUGCAAGAGGGGAGAGUGGAAUUCCAUGUGUAGCGGUGAAAUGCGUAGAUAUAUGGAGGAACACCGGUGGCGAAAGCGGCUCUCUGGCUUGUAACUGACGCUGAGGCUCGAAAGCGUGGGGAGCAAACAGG
This 761-nucleotide ribosomal RNA is filed under the name uncultured Streptococcus sp. Its description in RNAcentral is "bacterial SSU rRNA". It matches the Rfam family "Bacterial small subunit ribosomal RNA", at positions 28 to 776 of the family's 1533-position model. The record is from RNAcentral. Lineage: Bacteria; Bacillati; Bacillota; Bacilli; Lactobacillales; Streptococcaceae.